UACGUAGGUGGCAAGCGUUGUCCGGAUUUAUUGGGUUUAAAGGGUGCGUAGGCGGCUUUAUAAGUCAGUGGUGAAAGACGACAGCUCAACUGUCGAGGUGCCAUUGAUACUGUAAGGCUAGAGUACUGAUGAGGUAGGCGGAAUGGACGGUGUGUCGGUGAAAUGCUUAGAUAUCGUCCAGAACACCGAUAGCGAAGGCAGCUUACUAAAGAGUAACUGACGCUGAGGCAUGAAAGUGUGGGGAUCAAACAGG
RNAcentral lists this ribosomal RNA (253 nucleotides) under uncultured bacterium. RNAcentral's name for it is "partial 16S ribosomal RNA". It matches the Rfam family "Bacterial small subunit ribosomal RNA", at positions 524 to 776 of the family's 1533-position model. The record is from RNAcentral.